ACUGUUAAUUCAUAUGAUUUAACUUCGCCUGAGCUCGUGAUGACGUGGCACCCACUGGCUGACCACGUGCCACCUGGUGCGGAUCAAACCGCCUCAACUUCCCAACUAACUCCCGGAGGAGUCCCACCUCGAGAGCACCCAGGCUCUCACCCGCUCACUGAUUUAGGGCCCACCUAAAGCGAACCCCCUUACCAUUUGACCUAAUCAUACGCUGACCUGUCCUACGUAAGCUCGCCAGGUGUUUAGGGCCCCUCGCCGACGAAGCCCCACCACAUCAGAUCACUGCAGACGUGUCGAGCUCCUAUUCAACCGCGUGCGACACACGUGCCCAAGAGCUGCGUGCUUUAUAAGAAACGGCGAGCUCUACCCCGCAUCUCCCUUUACGUAUAAAGAGGAGCCAACACCAUUAAAACCCCCCCUAAUUAAAACUCCAUCACCACCAAAAUUAAGUUAAAAGGGAGAAUAAAAAAACGUUCUGCUUCUGAUCUCGAUCUCUCGAUCUUGAUCUCUCUCGUAGAUUUGAGCAUCGAUGGACCUGAACUCGGGCCGGAUCGAUUUGGAUUCUUCCAAGAAGCGGAUGAUCCACAAUCAGGUGCUGAGAAUCCGAGAAGAGGACCAACGGAUCGGGGAUCGGAUCGGCGAGAUCGCCACGUCAGAGAUCCGAACUCCGAUCGAGGGGUUCCUCUGCUCGCGGCCGAUGCUUCCGUCUUCUCCCCUCGGCAAUAAAUGCGCGCGGUGCUAUCAGUGACGGAGGCAGCAGGGCCCCGGUCUCUGCACGGUCGACACGUGUAGGGGCGUUUUAGGAAAGUUAUAUUUGAGAGGGUUGUAUUUGAAAUAUGCAAGUGAUGUGGUCCCCCGCAGACAAACACACCAUGUACAGCUU
Molecule: long non-coding RNA, 883 nt
Organism: Asparagus officinalis (garden asparagus)
Lineage: Eukaryota; Viridiplantae; Streptophyta; Magnoliopsida; Asparagales; Asparagaceae
Exons: 2
Source: RefSeq, a predicted model, not a curated record